RNAcentral lists this ribosomal RNA (443 nucleotides) under uncultured bacterium. Its description in RNAcentral is "partial 16S ribosomal RNA". It matches the Rfam family "Bacterial small subunit ribosomal RNA", at positions 338 to 795 of the family's 1533-position model. The record is from RNAcentral.
CCUACGGGGGGCAGCAGUGGGGAAUAUUGGGCAAUGGAGGAAACUCUGACCCAGCAACGCCGCGUGAAUGAUGAAGGUCUUCGGAUUGUAAAGUUCUUUUCUAAGGGAAGAAGAAAGUGACGGUACCUUAGGAAUAAGCCUCGGCUAACUACGUGCCAGCAGCCGCGGUAAUACGUAGGAGGCAAGCGUUAUACGGAAUGACUGGGCGUAAAGGGUGCGUAGGGGGUUUUACAAGUUGGUAGCGUAACUCCGAGGAUUAACCUCGGCACUACUACCAAAACUGGUGGACGCGAGUGCAGGAGGGGCAAAGGGAAUUCCUGGGGUAGCGGUGGAAUGCGUAGAUAGUAGGAGGAACACCAGUGGCGAAGGCGAGUUGCUGGACUGUAACUGACACUGAGGCACGAAAGCGUGGGGAGCAAACAGGAUUAGAUACCCGUGUAGUC